Molecule: long non-coding RNA, 2109 nt
Filed under: Homo sapiens (human)
Lineage: Eukaryota; Metazoa; Chordata; Mammalia; Primates; Hominidae
Description: non-protein coding lnc-POTEF-8:1
Source: RNAcentral
AACAUCACUUCCUCUUUCUGUUCUGACAUCAUCAAUCCACUUUGUAGUUUGCUGGAAUGAGUUAACAUUUGUGAUAUCGUAAACUACUACAGCUGCAGCAGAAUCACGGAUGUACCUGGGAAUGAGGCUACGGAGACGUUCCUGACCCGCCGUAUCCCACAGCCGAAGCCCGAUUGUUCCAUCCUCCAAGAACACCAGCUUGAAUUUCCUCAGCGGAUUCCCGAAGUCUCCGCCCGCGGACAUGGUGGAACUAGAGGAGCUGUCGCCGCCUCAGCCCAGAGACCUCCCGGACCGAUGCUCCUCCAGCCGGCUGACGAAAAAGGCAUAAAGGCAACACAAGUGGUCAGGCUCAGCUACUCUGGUUCCUACAGACUUUCCCCUUUGGGAUAGCGUCUCUCACCAUCUUGACUGCUUACCAACAGAAGCGCCAAAACCAAACUUGAGGAUGUCCACAAGCUUGCUCUACACUUCUACAUUCAUCCUCAUCUUUUUUGUGUGUGUUUGUGGGGUAGGGGAGGUGCAGUGUUUACUCAGUGAUCUUUCUACUUUCUAGAAAGUGUCUGUCCUUCAAAACUAUUUAAGAGCCUCUCAUUAGUCAUUUUUUCUCUUAUAUGCUCUGGUUGAGCUUGAAUAGACCAGUUGUUGCUUAAGAAAGAAACUGAAAAGAUUUUAGCUUUUCAGUCCUAUUUGGCAGAGGACUUCAGCUACCUUCUUAUGGUCUUUGGCUGUGUUGGUGCCCUCAUGUGCUCUGGGCUAAGCCACAUACUAAAUUGACUUUUUGGUUUGUAUACCCUUGCUCUCGCCUUCUGAUGAAAACACCUUACCCUCACCACCACCAUCUUUGCUCUCCUUUCCCAAAACUCUUUCCGCCUUGCUGCACUAAGAUAGUGACACCUCCACCACACGUCAAUUCCACACACAUUUAUUAGGUACCUGUGAAGCAGGAUCUUAUCCUCUUAAACUUCCACUUCUCACACUAGAGAGAAAGAUAAGGAAGAUGAGCAAGUGCCUGGAAUGGGGCAGGCUGAGUGGUCACACAGGCACAGAGGCACACUGAGAACCUACAGGGGAGACUGCAGAGUGCCUUCCCUGAUGCUGCAGCUGGAAGUCAUCCUUCCCUCCACCUGGCCCCUGAGACACUCUACUCUGUAGUGUGCAGUCUGAUGGCACUGCUAGAUUUCUUUUUCAGCUCAGGGCCACAGCUUAAACAGCUUUACCUUUCCCCUCAGCACCUGUCCCACUACCUUGCACACAGGUACUCUAUCCGUGUUUAUUGAACAAAGGAGGGAAACUGAUUUCACUUUCACUUGUUCAUUAUCAUUCCAAUUUUUAUGUGAAAAUGGCACAACCCAUUUGGGGUACACUCAUCUCAAAAGAAAAGCCCAAGACUACCUCUGACUGGUACCACCUUUUUUGUGGGUUCCUUGGUGAGAAACCUUUAUCUUUUUCAUACUUUUCUAUUCUCCAUCACUUCUCCAAAAGUGUCUCUUUCCAGCUCUGAUUUAUUCAAAACACACAAACAUUCCUGUUUAGAGAUUCUAGCCCAUGGAUUAUCCGGCUAGUUAGUACCUCUCCUGUUCACUUGGUUAUACUUUAUUAUUGCUCAGAGGUUGGGGAGGCAGAAUGACUGUGUCCCCUCACCCUGGCAGAAUGACUGUGUCACCACUAGGAGCCAUUAGGGCUUCUUCCCAGGAGGACUGCCUGCUUGCUUUCUGGGGACUAGCCCUUAUUUCCCUUCUGUGGUCCAGUGGGGCAAGUGAUUUGUAUUAGACAAAUAUUUAUAAGAAACAACCCCCUCCCCAAAAUAGAGCCACCAAGUAAAGCACAAGCCUGAAAGAUGAUGAACUAUGAAUUGUCUCUAGUGGAUAUAAAUUUCUGCAAAUAUAUCUCAGUCUUUCUCUCUUUUCUCUGGUGAUUAAAAAGUUGGUUUUUGGUAAGGAAAAGGAUUUUUGACCAUAGAGUUAUGCAUCAUGGAAAUUCAAACCCGAUUUCUUAAUACCUGGUCUUCUCCGAAGAGAAAUAAUGAUAGUAAUAGUGGUGCUGGGAACAAUAUGGAAGAUUAUUGAAUGAAAUGGAUUAACUUGAAUAAAAUGCUGUGAAUUAUCUCUA